CCGGCUGAGGGCUGCUGCUGUUUGCUGGCUGGCUGACUGCUGAGCAGUCGUCAGUCAGUUGGCCAAGAAACUGGUAGCGUCGGUGUUGUGAGCCAACAAAAGGCUGGCAACUGGCAAUUGGCAACUGGCAGCUGGGCAGUUGGCUGCUGCUGGCUGCUUGCUUGCUUGCUUGGCACCGGCAACCAAAAGAAAGCACCGUGCGAAUACACAAAAUCAAAAUGUGUGUGUUGGCCACAGGGCACGGCAUUAGCUUUGGCUAUAGCUAUGGCUAUGGCUUUGGCUCUGUUUGACUGUUUUGAGCGACGCGUAGCCAGCCAAGAAAAGUGGCCAGCAGUAGCAGCAGCAGCCGAGUCCGUCAGGAAGCCAGCCAAAAGCCAUUGCCAGCGAGCCAGCCAGCCAACAACCAAGUAGCAGCAACAGCAAUUACUGCUGGCCAACAAGGUGGUGAUGGUGAAGGUCCAAGAUGAUGAUGAUGAUGACGACACAGCGACAGCAACUGCUGCCAAGCAGCAACGCAGGAUGUGAUGACAGACGACGAGAAGAAGGAGGCACAUUUUGUUUUUGGCCGCCAAACGCAGUUUGAUUAGCCAAGUCAAACACAACAAAUGCGCUGACCCAAGAUCAGCCCAGAAUGGAUGCCAAUUGACAGCUACAACACACACACACACACACGGGCAGUUGUGGACAUGCAGUGGCGCAGCGGAGCAGCAGCAGCAAACAAGAACCGCAGUCGGAGCUGCGCCGCAGGAUGCGUUCGUCUCGAUUAUACAGCAUAAAAAACAAUUAAACAAACAAAAACAAAAUACGUGUCGCGCUGCAACAACAACAACCAACAUCGCGCUGUGUGCGCCACAAGUGCAAGUGUGUGUGUGUGUGUUUGUGUGAAGUGUGUGAUUGUGCGACAACCUUUUGAACUGACCAACGUGCGCCGCCAACUCGGGCAGCCAAUAAAAACAAAAAAAAAACACGAAAAGCUGCGCCAAUGGAGCAACUGGCGAAGCGCCCAAAACAGCAACAACAACAACAACAAUAGUCGUAGUAAUAGCCAAGUCCAUAACCAUUGUUUCAAACUGGCCAACUAAUGAUUUGUCAGCCAUGUCAGAGCCAUGGCGCAAAUUGGCCCCGCAAGCAAAAGGCAAAGGCAAACGCGUGCGAAACCUCAAAGGAUGCGCAUCAAGCGAACAUUGCGCAUACGCCGCGUGCAACACCCAUUCAAAAAUAACCAACUUCUACUUAAUACAACGUAGUGUAUAAUAACAAUACCACUUGAUUACAAUACUUCAAACUUAAUACAACUAGUGUUUAGUGCUUACAACAAAAAAAUAAAAAAAAAAACAAUGAGAAAAAUACAACAAAAAAAUAUGUAGCAAACGUAGCGUUUACUUCAAAGCAACUUAUAUAACCACAGAACUAUGAUAUAAUAUCCCCCCAACUUAUAAACAUUAGUGCAAUAUAUAAAUAUAUUGGUAAUUGUACUUGAUCGUGAUUAACGUUUAGUUCAACUACUUGGUAAAUGAAAGCACUCGUAGACAAUUCUUAAUAACAAAACAAAACAAAAGAAAACAACCAAACCGAAAAUGAUCGUCAGAUUGAGUUUUACGCGUCGCUGGCAAAAACGUUGCGGACCUUUCAAUGAAUGGUGAUGACAGCUCGUGGAAAUGGAAAUCGUGCGAGGAAAAGCAAAUGUAGAUAGGAAGACAACUGAGCGGUUAAUAGAGUGGACAAUGGCGAUGCGCUAAAGGAGCCUCGUUUUGGCCAAUUGGCGGCGACGGCCGCUGCAACGAAGUCUAAGGCCUGA
This is a long non-coding RNA of Drosophila albomicans, 1798 nucleotides long. RefSeq lists it as uncharacterized. Lineage: Eukaryota; Metazoa; Arthropoda; Insecta; Diptera; Drosophilidae. The transcript is spliced from 2 exons. The record is from RefSeq and is a predicted model, not a curated record.